UAUUUUGGCAAAACAGACGACAAAGAAGUCCACUAUCGACUGUGCUCUAAAAUGCUUUGAAAAAAUACUACUAACAUGUUUCAGCAUUUAAAGUUGAAGCAUGUCAAAGAGUUUGCAACUCUCAAGGUGGUAAGCAAGAAUGAUAGAAGACAAGAUUACGACAGGCUGAGCGUUCACGACCAACGAAUGGGAAUAGGCAACAGAAGAAUUGUCAAAUAGAAAACGGAAAUGUUAAACAUAGUGAACCAAAUUGAAUAAUGUGCAGAUAAAAUAUCACAAUGAACGUAAUUCUUAAAAUCUUCAUUUAUAAAAUGAUCUAAUAUAAUCAUGCAUAUUUAUAAUUAAAAUUAUAUGUUUUGUUACAAAAAGUUCGCCAUUUUGCCAACUUUUUUGUUGGUUUUAAAAGUGAGAAAAAAAUCUUUAUAGACGACUUUUUUGUACUAUUGUUGUUUAAUUCCGCCAUUGCGGACUUCUUUUUCAAAUUAAUACAUUUUUCACUUAAAAUUUUAAAUAAUAAUUAAGCACAAGCCUUGACUUCAGAUCUUUGUUUUGGUUUUAUUGUUUUGUACCACAGUGCAAUUUUGUUUUGCUCGCGUGUUUGUGGUCGUGAAACUUGUCACUCAACAGGAACUCAAAACUCAAAAUAACUAUGUAACUGUAAACGCCUGUCGUAAUCUUGUCUUCUAUCAUUCUUGGUGGUAAUUUUCUCAAUUUUCAUUAAUACUACGUUCGGACCGACAUUGAAAAUAUGUUUUCACUGAAAAAAUGGGUUUUCGUUGGAAAACUUGUGUUUUCAUCCAUGCAAAAUUUGUCAAACGAAAUCACAGUUUUCGCUGAAAACUUCUUGAAAAUUUACAUUCCACUCAUUAUAAUCGAUGUCUGCUCUAGUUUAGUCGAUAUUAUUGGAAGACUUAUUUUGCUAGCUCUAAAUUGUCUUUUGAUAUUGUAAACAAAUUCCACUACUUUUCAAAAUAAUAAAGAAACAGAAAUAAAAAUAAGAAAGGAAGGGUUAGCCCUUCGUUCGCGUGUGACCGAACAUUUUAUACUUUCGCAAAUUAUUUGUUUAAUGUUAUUAAGCGCGUCUUCUUUUCUUUUCUCGAAUAGUGACUUUUUAUAUAUCAACAUUAUACACAGUACUUCAUUACCGUUUUGAAUGUGCUCCAUUUUUUACAUGAUUAAAGAACCAAAAAAAAAAUCACCUUAUUAUGCUGGUCAUCUCUCACUGACAAUUUCAUAACUAGAGUACAGGGCAGAAUAAAUUCAAACAUUUUUUGAGAAAAAAACCUUUUUAAAAUUACAUGCAACUGGACUUAUGUAUUGGGCAAAAAUCAUUAAAUGAAAGAUGGUGUAAUUCCUAAAGUUUCAUUAAUAUAUCAGAAGUUUUACUCAAGUAAACGCUUGUACAGACAGACGGAUUUUAACUCGUCUCGUCAUCCUGAUCAUUUUGAUUUUUAUAACCCUAUAUCAGCCUCGACCAGCUCCUACUAUUUUUAGUCUUCGUUUUUCACACCUACAGUUGAGCGAUCGUUUUUUCACACCAACAUGCCCGAAGCUUCGCAGCAGAACAAGCGAAAACAAAUCAGUUGCUGUCUGUAUUUUGAACAAGCAACACCUUACUCGUUCGCUAAAGCAAAUCAGACACUCGCUACGGCAAAAAUUUGUUCUUGCACUGAGCAAAAAAAUGUUCCAAUUUUUUAUGUAUGAAAAUGAAAAUAAUCUUGCGCAAUGUAUGUUGUGCAAGAGUACUUUUAAGAGUAAUCUCUUUUCAAUUUAGAAAAGCAUUUUUUAAAUUCUUAUCAAGAUAUUUCUAAUAUAGAAAUUUCCGAAAGAGAAAACAAAUUAGCGAAUUAAAAAAAAAUGAACAUUUACAAAGCAAAGAUACUGAAGAAAAGGGUAAACAAAAGAAAAAGGCGUCGUUUAUAGUUACUCUUUAUUUAGCGGAAAAAGGACGCCCAUUUGAUGAUGGGGUUUUUUUUUAAAUUUGGGCUCUGAGUUUCUUUGUUAGCAGCUCUAAGGAGUCUACAAAGGAGCGUAACUGUGCCAUUGGGGAGCGGUUUGGAGUUUUGGAAGAAUCUGAAUCCAACUUUAUAUAAGAACACAAUAAACGAGAUCUACAAGCUUUAUUCUAUGUUUUAUUCAACCUACAACUGUGAUGCUGCCUUUUCCAAUCUUAAAAUAAUCCAAAAUAAAUAUAGAAACCACCUAAUAGUAUUUUUACAUAUAAAAAUAAUCUUGUUCUAAGCUCGUUCAAUAAUCUAACCGUUUACAUAUAGCCAAAUGAGAUUAUCAAUUGUCAAAUGUGUUGCAUUUGUUGUUGUAUUACACAUAUUUCUCUCGCUGUCGGUCAUUGUAGUUUACAUUUUCAUUUCUCCUUUUCUUCGCAAAAUUAUCGAUAAACCUAGGAAUAACACCGAAAAUCCAGUUGUAUAAAACGAGAUAAUUUUAUAAUCUCAGAUUAUCCAGAGAGGAAUUCUGUAUGGGAAAUCUCGUUUCUUAAUUACACACAACAAGUCAUGGUUACUGAAACUCCAAUACAUUCAAAGAAAUUUUAAUAACACCACUACAUACACACAUAAGAAACAAAGGGUAAAAUGUGCUUAAACAUUUAACUCAACUCUUCUCUCAUACAGCACCCUGAAUGAUAGAAAGAAACAACCAAAGUUCUCGUGUUUGAACAAGUUUUGUUUUGCGUUAUAUCAUGGCUGCUUGUGAAGUAUUAUUUUGCGUGUUUUAUUUAAUUAAGUGAUCUGCAGCCUAAUUAAAGUUUACAUUUUUGAAGCACGCAUUUUUAAAUAAGUAAAACGUAAAAUAAAAGUUUUCUAAAGCCAAAAUAUGGAACUGAAAAGGGUGAUACAGAAAUACUUCAUUGCACUGUCAAUUCGAAGCACGCAAUAGAAGCUACGCCAACAAUGGUCAACAUCAAUGGCGAAACCAUUGAAUACAUAUUUCAACCUCAUAUGGCGCGUUAAAGGUACGCAAACUUAUUGGUGUCACUUAUUGUAGCAGCGUAGAACUUUCGAAGCGAUGGAAUAUGUGCUGCAAGCAAAUGGAUACAAACGAUGCUACAUGGACCACAAAUCAUUUACACACCAAAUAUUAGGUUUAAUGUCACUUUUUUACGUGCAAUUAAACCUUUUGGUCAACACAAGCACGGGAAGAAUUGGAACGACAUGUUUUAGGUGCUUUUGUAACCGUGUUACAUCGCGACGUAUGUCAACCAGAGAGCAGCUUCGGGUAUGUUCAAGUGUGUUCAAUCACACUAGCUUAAAUUCGGUACGAGUGUGUCGAAACACUCUUCAAACACGUGUUCGAUCGAGUUUGGAACCCGAAGCGAAAAUAACGCAAACGAACAAUCACGACGGUCCUAUUUUCGAGUGCAAGCAGCAAACUCGAAUUUUAUGUAUAUUAUAUUUUCGGCUGUGUCGUGCACGUGUUGAUUGUGAUCGAAACACUCGAGUGGCACUCGAAGACCAAAAAAUAAUAGAUAAACAUACGUACACACAUAUGUAUGUAUGUUUGUUGGCGUCGGGAUGUCGCGUUCUGUCUUAGCUUUUUUGGUUGAAUAAUUUGAAUAUUAGACGUACAUAGUACAUAUUAUAAAAGAAUAAUUCAAUUUAAGAAUAGAAUUCACUCAAAACUUAUUUUAUUUAUUAAUUCAUAAAUCAUAAAUAAAAAACAUUUCAUUGCACUUAAAUAUUUUAAUUUUUUUUUAAUCACAAAUUUCAGGUGUAGACCAGAUAAGGUGUUUGUGCAAUUGGAAAUGUUCUCACAACCCGAAUUUUCUAUCGUUGUCAUUAUGAAUUAUAAAAAGUAAACAAAACAAACAAAACCAAUAAUCGUUGACAAUCACUACGCAAUAAUAGCAUGACUGCCAAUUACAUACAUACAUAUUCUGAAAUUUUGUGCACACUCGUGUGUGACUCGAUCACAUUCAAUACGAUCGGGUUAGAGUGCCAGCUCGUUCACAAACGAGUGUCAACUCGGCACUCUGUUAAAACAAGCAUAGACCGUUUUCACACGGGCAAUUUUUGUCGCGGCAAUUCUUAGUUUUAUAGGAGAGGGGGCGACGAAGAGAAGAGAAUUUCUCUCUCUCUAGCUUCCCUUGGUCGCCCCCUCUCCUAUAAAACUAAGAAUUGCCGCGACAAAAAUUGCCCGUGUGAAAACGGUCAUAUAUGCUUGUGUUUCGAGUGUCGCGAAAGGCUCGCCAAAUCAAUACGUGUAUUCAUACCGAAAACUUUGAUCAAACAAAAUCAGAGUGGACAUUCGAGUGUGCACGAAAAUGAUAUACCCGUUGCAGCUCUGAUGUCAACUGGGUUUUGCCAAUGAUCUAGAGGGCAAAGCAGUGGCAGUAUUUUUACCGGCACCUCAGUUGGUCGUGCCAUUAGCAGCUAAAGCACAGAAAUUAAAGGGAGGACUUUUUUGAUUCAUUUACACCAUGUAUUGAGGAAUCAUAACGUUGUUGUAUCGCUUUACAAGGACAUAAAUUCACCGAAAUUAGCUCAAUGAAAAUACUACAGCAAAAGCAUGGAUGUUAAGACUUGAACGGUGCCGUGCUAGAUUUAGAUUUCCUGAAACAUAAGAAACCCUCCUCCCAGAUGAAUAUAGUACUAGUAAAAUUAAUGAAAGAAGAGAUCUUACAAAAAGUCCUAAAGAAACCAAAAUAGUCCUCACAUAAUGUGCGCAGCUUACACUUCCAGGCCGCUCGGGGUAUUUGACAUUUGCCACUCUUCCUCCAGCCUUUGUCAGAUAGCAAAAAUUGUUCAAAUAUUCAAUAGGUUUACAUAUGUAUAUAGUGUAGUACGAUAAUACAUUUAUAAAGUAAAUAUAAUAAUAAACACCUAAAUGGCAUGAUAUUUUAAAUAAAUAUGAAAUAUAAUUAAUGAUUUUGUUAUUAAAUUCUCAUUUGGGAUUUUGGUAGAACUGACCGAAAAUAAUCGGGUAUAGUUUCUGGGCUUUUGUGGAUCGCAGUACUGAAAGUGCACGUGCAGUUUUGGUUCGCAGUUUUGGCUCUUUCAUCCGUGAUAGUACCAAGAACAGUACUGGAAGUGCACAUGUUGUUUUGGUUCGCAGUUUUGGGUCUAUCAUCCGUGAUUGUACCAAUACCAUUCCACAAAUUGUGCAAGAGGUAUAUAUACAUCGCUAAAUGAUGAAUGUAAUGUGCAAGAAAGGGAUGAACGAUCUCACGUACACAAGAGUUUCGUGUACUUUUGUCAAUUCGCCCUUAAGAAUGGCAUAGAAACUUUCAUUGAAACUGCGGGUACCGCUCCCUGGCAUUUCACCGAAGAAUUCGCCGGUACCUGUCUUGCAGGGCAGAUUAUCGAGUUAAGCUCGUAAAUGGAGAUAAUCUCGUUAUAUGUAAACAUAGUAUAACGGACAAACAUAUAUGCGAUUUAAUGAGAAUCAAAAAUUAUUAAUAUGAGAUUGACAUUAAUAAAUAAUUGAAUAAACUAAAAUAAACAUAUUUUUUAAUUAUGAAAACUUUUUUUCGGUGUAGCUGCUUUGUUUACUUUUUGUUUCGCUACUUGCUUCGCUUCUUGUUCUUCUUAACUAGCAUUUGUAUAAUUUUGUGCGUGUGGUAGUUUGGUCGAUACUGCCCUAUAUCGUUUAGUUUUAUGA
Zeugodacus cucurbitae (melon fly) is the source of this 5616-nucleotide long non-coding RNA. RefSeq lists it as uncharacterized. The transcript has 4 exons. Lineage: Eukaryota; Metazoa; Arthropoda; Insecta; Diptera; Tephritidae. The record is from RefSeq and is a predicted model, not a curated record.